This 309-nucleotide unclassified non-coding RNA is filed under the name uncultured fungus. Its description in RNAcentral is "sequence contains ITS2". The record is from RNAcentral. Lineage: Eukaryota; Fungi.
AACGCACCUUGCACCCUUUGGUAUUCCGAAGGGUACACCCGUUUGAGUGUCAUUGUAAUCUCACUAUGUUCGACUUUUUGUCGUUUGUAUGUGGACCUGGAUGUUGCUGUUGGUUUUCGACGGCUCGUCUGAAAUGCCUGAGUGUACCCCGCUUUGCGGCGUAUUCGGUGUGAUAUAUUGUCACCGGAGUUGAUCCUUUUGGGUCGCGUCUGUAGGAGUGUGGCUCUAUGCUUUCCAACCGUCCCUUCACCGGGACAAUCUUCUUGACAAUUUGACCUCAAAUCGGGUGGGACUACCCGCUGAACUUAA